This 253-nucleotide ribosomal RNA is filed under the name uncultured bacterium. Its description in RNAcentral is "partial 16S ribosomal RNA". It matches the Rfam family "Bacterial small subunit ribosomal RNA", at positions 524 to 776 of the family's 1533-position model. The record is from RNAcentral.
UACGAAGGGGGCUAGCGUUGUUCGGAAUUACUGGGCGUAAAGCGCACGCAGGCGGAUUGCUAAGUCGGGGGUGAAAUCCCGGGGCUCAACCUCGGAAUUGCCUUCGAUACUGUUAGUCUUGAGUCCGGGAGAGGUGAGUGGAAUUCCUAGUGUAGAGGUGAAAUUCGUAGAUAUUAGGAAGAACACCAGUGGCGAAGGCGGCUCACUGGCCCGGUACUGACGCUCAUGUGCGAAAGCGUGGGGAGCAAACAGG